UACGAAGGGGGCUAGCGUUGUUCGGAAUUACUGGGCGUAAAGCGCACGUAGGCGGAUUGUUAAGUUAGGGGUGAAAUCCCGGGGCUCAACCCCGGAACUGCCUUUAAUACUGGCAAUCUCGAGUCCGAGAGAGGUGAGUGGAAUUCCGAGUGUAGAGGUGAAAUUCGUAGAUAUUCGGAAGAACACCAGUGGCGAAGGCGGCUCACUGGCCCGUUACCGACGCUCAGGCGCGACAGCGUGGGGAGCAAACAGG
Molecule: ribosomal RNA, 253 nt
Filed under: uncultured bacterium
Lineage: Bacteria
Description: partial 16S ribosomal RNA
Rfam family: Bacterial small subunit ribosomal RNA
Source: RNAcentral